GAUGAACGCUGGCGGCGUGCCUAAUACAUGCAAGUCGAGCGAACAGACGAGGAGCUUGCUCCUCUGACGUUAGCGGCGGACGGGUGAGUAACACGUGGAUAACCUACCUAUAAGACUGGGAUAACUUCGGGAAACCGGAGCUAAUACCGGAUAAUAUAUUGAACCGCAUGGUUCAAUAGUGAAAGACGGUUUUGCUGUCACUUAUAGAUGGAUCCGCGCCGCAUUAGCUAGUUGGUAAGGUAACGGCUUACCAAGGCAACGAUGCGUAGCCGACCUGAGAGGGUGAUCGGCCACACUGGAACUGAGACACGGUCCAGACUCCUACGGGAGGCAGCAGUAGGGAAUCUUCAGCAAUGGGAGAAAGCCUGACGGAGCAACGCCGCGUGAGUGAUGAAGGGAUUCGGAUCGUAAAACUCUGUUAUUAGGGAAGAACAAAUGUGUAAGUAACUAUGCACGUCUUGACGGUACCUAAUCAGAAAGCCACGGCUAACUACGUG
Molecule: ribosomal RNA, 497 nt
Filed under: uncultured bacterium
Lineage: Bacteria
Description: partial 16S ribosomal RNA
Rfam family: Bacterial small subunit ribosomal RNA
Source: RNAcentral